RNAcentral lists this long non-coding RNA (3098 nucleotides) under Gallus gallus (chicken). Lineage: Eukaryota; Metazoa; Chordata; Aves; Galliformes; Phasianidae. The record is from RNAcentral.
AGUUAAUGUCAGAUGCGUCAAGCUAGUCUUAAGUAUUUGGCUGUUACUUUUAACAUGUAAUACCAGUUAGCCCAAAAUGAUUUGUUCUGGGAUAGCAUGGAAUAGUUCUGCUCCUCUCUGCUAUGCUUCUAUGUUAAUCUGAUGCCGUGUGUAAUCCUACAUCAGCACAGUGAUUCUGGCUUUGUGUGACACAAUGCGUUGCUCACAUGACAACAUACUGUCAUGAAGGAAUGUUUGUUGUGUUCAUGGGAAGGACAUCUGCUUACUCUGCACAUUCGGUUGAACAAAAGUAGUUAUUCUUCUGCUUACAGUAUCACAUUUUUGAAGGGUUUUUAGUAAUUGGUGGCAUAGCAAAUGUUAGUAUGUGCAUGGGUUUAUGGCGUUACUGUUACUGACACAGGUCCGUAUGUGAGAAGGUUACAUCUCACGCUCACCCCUUUGUUACAAUCCACCAUGUAAAACUGAACCACCAUUCUUUUUGGGAAGCUGAGACCUAAUUUGUCCCUGCCUGAUUUCAUUCCGAUUUAAGAAAAGAUGUUCUUUCUUGGGUUCAGCUUUCAAGUAUUUAUCCCCCCCACAAACACAUUCUUGCUUAUGCCUGCAUAAUGCUGUUAAGACACUUUCUUCUGCAGAAGCCUUUUGUUAGCACAGUAUUACUACAUUUGUCUGUUCUUUCCUGUCAAACCUGACAAUUUAUCACCCGCAGUCACUGCAGAAAUGUUGUUACAUUUCUCAUUUUCUCCCUCGUGUUUUUGAACACUCCUCAGGUAUUUGGAGGACUACACAUCUGCUAUGUGUGGGACUGCUAGCUGAUUUAAAGUGCUUCCUCUUCUGAGCAGUUACUGGGAACUGAGCGAGUCUGAGACGCGCUCACUGCGCGUACCCUCUGCCAAUUUGUUGUUACGUGAAUCCAUAAAAUGGGUGUUUUAAAAUCUUUCCCUGCACUGCGCUGCCAAUAUUUCUGUUUUCUUAUACUAAAUCUUUCGUCUGGGUCAUCUGAAGCGUGACCCAACUAAACUCCUAUUCCCACAGUAAUUUCAAGCUGUCCUCUUGGCUUUCAUCAUCUUGAACAGCUACAUAAAGCUGUCUUUAACUGUGUGUUUCUCUUUACUUGAAGAAUUGGAAUUGGAAAUCCAUCUGCUGGAGUCUUUUCCUGCUUUUGCCUAAAAGAACAAUCAAUUUGAAAGGCAGUUUGGGGCUUUCUGUUGUCUUUUUUUUCACUUGUGCUAACUUUGUAACUGAAAAUUUGGGUUACGUAGAAUUGGUAGAAUGGGAAAUCUGCUGUAGUGUUUUUGUAUCCAAGUUAUGGCACUCAGCCAUCUGCCUUGUGCUUAAUAGGUAUUGUUUCAGACUUCAGGAGGCUCAUUGCUGCGGACAGUGUGCAAUUGAGUACAUCUUGCUGAUUUUUAACUUAUUUUAAUGUUGUACUGAAAGUCUCUCUGAGCUUUCCUUGUUAGUACGCUAUUCCACUAGAAGCUCUGCUUCAGUCACAUAUCAAAAGGUUUGUCCUCAAUUCAAGCCAUUAAAACCUCACUGAAAUUUUUCCCUUACUCUACCUAGACCUGAAUUCAAAAAGGAAGCCUUCUUUUGGAAUGGGUUUUUUGCCUUUUCUGUGUGCAAAUUCUGUCAUUCUGCAGGUUCGUGGUACCACCACCGGGAGGCAGUCUUGCACAGUGGCUCUACUGGGUUUGUCCGAAGCCGUAGAUCAUAUAGCUGAAUCGUGGGACUUAACACUAUGAGCGACAUGCACCAGCUGUUGUUUAAUUAAAUUUGCAAGUACUGAAGAAUAAGAUAUUUCCUGGAAGGUCUGAAAGUGCUUGGAUUCAAAGGGUCAAAGGUAGCUACAGAAGACGAACACGACAAAUAACAAAAUGGCUGUGCUGCGGACUUUCUCUCUGCUUCUGCUUUCGUUAAGGUGCUCUGAGGCUUCCAGUCAAUAAAGUAAUUCCAGGGAAAAAGGUCUAACUGUUUGUUUACAUUAGUUUAUGGUAAUCUAAAAGUUCACAUUCCCUCUUAAUUUUUUGGUUAUUCUGUAUUUUUUAAUCCUGACUUAGAGUCAUAGAAUCACCAAGGUCGGAAAAGACCUCCCAGACCAUCCAGUCCAACCAUCCCGCUACCACCAAUAUUGCAUCACUAAACCACGUCCCCACUUUUAGGUCAGGAUUCGCUUGUUGUUUUCCAUGAGUACCUUACAUCUUUGUCAAACUGCCUCGCUCCCAUCCCAUUUUUUAUGCAGUUAAAAUCUUGUAUUUAGUGAUGGAGAAACCAAGGAUGGCAACGAGUUCUAUGGAUUUUAGGAACUGAUUAAGAGAAAGGAUUUCUGAUUGAGAAGGAGGGCACACACAGUGCCAAGUGUUCGCCAUAACAGGGAGAAUAAGAAAAAUGGCCUAACACUUCUCUUUCUAGAGUGUGUAUUUGUAUGUUCAAACCUACUGCAACAAACACUCCAUGUGUCACAUUGACCAUGUGGGUUACAAUUCAUUGACUUUAUACAGCUGUAUUGUUUAUAUUGUAUAUUAUUAUAUUAUAUUGUAUAUUGUUUAAGAAGAAAAAGACUUGAAAUGAGCCCAAUGAAGCCACUGGUGUGGCUGAAAGGUGACACGGUGACCGUGGCUGGGGCACAGCCUGUGAAGGAGGGAGGGUGUGGGCAACCCUGAGGCAGGCAACAGUGGUGAGUACCCCCACGCUGCUUGGCUGGUCCUGGCCCUCAAACUUCUGACUGUUUUGCUUCAACACUGCUCAGGCUUUAACUUGUGACAUGAGGAAAUGACCCCUGAGAAUCCCUGUGCUUUCCUAAGAGUGAAGCACACCACCUGCAGAGUGCUGGUUGUGCCCGGCCAGCUGGGCCCAUCAGCAGGCCGACGGGCUGACCCCUCUGAGCCUGGUCACCAAGCUCAAGCUUGGGGCUGCUGAGCGCCCACACUGCCUCACCAUGUUCCCCUCAGCCCUCUCCCAGCUGGCCCCCCUAGCAGUGCAGGGCCUGCGCCAGAGGCCGGGCCUUGUUGUGCCUCUGCCCAGAGCAACCCAAGAUGGCCGCACACCCUCAGACAUUAGCAUGCUCCAAAACACACAUGUACCUCCCAUUCACACUAGGGAAG